RNAcentral lists this ribosomal RNA (1380 nucleotides) under Clostridium botulinum C/D str. BKT75002. Its description in RNAcentral is "bacterial LSU rRNA". It matches the Rfam family "Bacterial large subunit ribosomal RNA", at positions 904 to 2297 of the family's 2925-position model. The record is from RNAcentral. Lineage: Bacteria; Bacillati; Bacillota; Clostridia; Eubacteriales; Clostridiaceae.
AGAGCACUGAAUGGGCUAGGGGCUGACAACAGUUACUGAACCCUAUCAAACUCCGAAUGCCAUAUACUUGUACCCCGGCAGUCAGACUACGAAUGAUAAGAUCCGUGGUCAAAAGGGAAACAGCCCAGACCAUCAGCUAAGGUCCCAAAGUGUAAGUUAAGUGGGAAAGGAUGUGGGAUUUCUAAGACAACUAGGAUGUUGGCUUAGAAGCAGCCACUCAUUUAAAGAGUGCGUAAUAGCUCACUAGUCGAGAGAUCCUGCGCCGAAGAUGUAACGGGGCUCAAACUUACCACCGAAGCUAUGGAUGUGUACUUUGUACACGUGGUAGAGGAGCUUUCUGUACAGGUUGAAGUCAUACCGUAAGGAGUGGUGGACAGUACAGAAGUGAGAAUGCUGGCAUAAGUAGCGAAAAACAAGUGAGAAUCUUGUUGACCGAAUAUCUAAGGUUUCCUGGGGAAGGCUCGUCCUCCCAGGGUUAGUCGGGACCUAAGCCGAGGCCGAAAGGCGUAGGUGAUGGACAACUGGUUGAUAUUCCAGUACCACCAUAAUGCGUUUGACAAAUGGGAUGACGCAGGAGGAUAGGAUGUGCGCACUAUUGGAUGUGCGUCUAAGCACUUAGGGUGUUAAGUAGGCAAAUCCGCUUAACAUUAAGCCUGAGGUGUGAUGGGGAGCCUAUUUUGGCGAAGUAUCUGAUUCCACGCUGCCAAGAAAAGUCUCUAUGGAGCAAAAUGGUGCCCGUACCGCAAACCGACACAGGUAGAUGAGGAGAGAAUCCUAAGGUCGUCGGAAGAAUUAUUGCUAAGGAACUCGGCAAAUUGACCCCGUAACUUAGGGAGAAGGGGUGCCUACGAGAGUAGGCCGCAGUGAAUAGGCUCAAGCAACUGUUUAUCAAAAACACAGGUCUCUGCUAAAGCGUAAGCUGAUGUAUAGGGGCUGACGCCUGCCCGGUGCUGGAAGGUUAAGGGGAAUAGUUAGCGCAAGCGAAGCUAUGAACUUAAGCCCCAGUAAACGGCGGCCGUAACUAUAACGGUCCUAAGGUAGCGAAAUUCCUUGUCGGGUAAGUUCCGACCCGCACGAAUGGCGUAAUGAUUUGAGCACUGUCUCGGCAAUAAAUCCGGUGAAAUUGUAGUGCAAGUGAAGAUGCUUGCUACCCGCGGUUGGACGGAAAGACCCCGUAGAGCUUUACUGUAGCUUAGCAUUGAAUUUCGGUAUUGUCUGUACAGGAUAGGUGGGAGACUUAGAAGCGAGGGCGUCAGCUUUCGUGGAGUCGUCCUUGGGAUACCACCCUGACAGUACUGGAAUUCUAACUGGAGGCCAUGAAUCUGGUCACAGGACAUUGCUAGGUGGGCAGUUUGACUGGGGCGGUCGCCUCCUAAAAGG